RNAcentral lists this ribosomal RNA (490 nucleotides) under uncultured bacterium. Its description in RNAcentral is "partial 16S ribosomal RNA". It matches the Rfam family "Bacterial small subunit ribosomal RNA", at positions 29 to 505 of the family's 1533-position model. The record is from RNAcentral.
AGUGAACGCUGGCGGUAGGCCUAACACAUGCAAGUCGAACGGCAGCACAGUAAGAGCUUGCUCUUACGGGUGGCGAGUGGCGGACGGGUGAGGAAUACAUCGGAAUCUACUUUUUCGUGGGGGAUAACGUAGGGAAACUUACGCUAAUACCGCAUACGACCUACGGGUGAAAGCAGGGGAUCUUCGGACCUUGCGCGUUUGAAUGAGCCGAUGUCGGAUUAGCUAGUUGGCGGGGUAAAGGCCCACCAAGGCGACGAUCCGUAGCUGGUCUGAGAGGAUGAUCAGACACACUGGAACAGAGACACGGAACAGAAUGAUACGGGAGGCAGGAGUGGGGAAUAUUGGACAAUGGGCGAAAGCCUGAUAAAGAAAUAAAGCGUGGGUGAAGAAGGCAUUCGGGUUGUAAAGACCUUUUGUUGGGAAAGAAAAGAAGCAGGUUAAUACACCGAUGUUCUGACGGUACACAAAGAAUAAGCACCGGAAAACUUCG